Molecule: ribosomal RNA, 495 nt
Filed under: uncultured bacterium
Lineage: Bacteria
Description: partial 16S ribosomal RNA
Rfam family: Bacterial small subunit ribosomal RNA
Source: RNAcentral
GACGAACGCUGGCGGCGUGCCUAAUACAUGCAAGUAGAACGCUGAAGGAGGAGCUUGCUUCUCUGGAUGAGUUGCGAACGGGUGAGUAACGCGUAGGUAACCUGCCUGGUAGCGGGGGAUAACUAUUGGAAACGAUAGCUAAUACCGCAUAAGAGUAGAUGUUGCAUGACAUUUGCUUAAAAGGUGCAAUUGCAUCACUACCAGAUGGACCUGCGUUGUAUUAGCUAGUUGGUGGGGUAACGGCUUACCAAGGCGACGAUACAUAGCCGACCUGAGAGGGUGAUCGGCCACACUGGGACUGAGACACGGCCCAGACUCCUACGGGAGGCAGCAGUAGGGAAUCUUCGGCAAUGGACGGAAGUCUAACCGAGCAACGCCGCGUGAGUGAAGAAGGUUUUCGGAUCGUAAAGCUCUGUUGUAAGAGAAGAACGAGUGUGAGAGUGGAAAGUUCACACUGUGACGGUAUCUUACCAGAAAGGGACGGCUAACUACGUG